GUGGGGAAUCUUCCGCAAUGGACGAAAGUCUGACGGAGCAACGCCGCGUGAGUGAAGAAGGUUUUCGGAUCGUAAAGCUCUUUCGUUAGGGACGAACGUGCUCUUUGUGAAUAAUGAGGAGUAAUGACGGUACCUAAAUAAGAAGCCACGGCUAACUACGUGCCAGCAGCCGCGGUAAUACGUAGGUGGCAAGCGUUGUCCGGAAUUAUUGGGCGUAAAGCGCGCGCAGGCGGGAUAUCAAGUCUGUCUUAAAAGUGCGAGGCUCAACCUCGUGAGGGGACAGAAACGGGUAUUCUUGAGUGUCGGAGAGGAAAGUGGAAUUCCAAGUGUAGCGGUGAAAUGCGUAGAGAUUUGGAAGAACACCAGUGGCGAAGGCGACUUUCUGGACGAUGUCUGACGCUGAGGCGCGAAAGCUAGGGGAGCGAACGGGAUUAGAAACCCCUGUAGUCC
RNAcentral lists this ribosomal RNA (450 nucleotides) under uncultured bacterium. RNAcentral describes it as "partial 16S ribosomal RNA". It matches the Rfam family "Bacterial small subunit ribosomal RNA", at positions 354 to 796 of the family's 1533-position model. The record is from RNAcentral.